RNAcentral lists this long non-coding RNA (289 nucleotides) under Manihot esculenta (cassava). RNAcentral describes it as "long non-coding RNA (MESC_LNC011176)". Lineage: Eukaryota; Viridiplantae; Streptophyta; Magnoliopsida; Malpighiales; Euphorbiaceae. The record is from RNAcentral.
UUUUCUUCAGCUAGAUGUCUUUGCAAUUCUGAACCUCCAUCAUCAGCCUUGACUUCUUGAAGUUCUUUUCCACUUCUCAACAUAAUGGUACUUACAUUUUGCUUGGGAUUUGCCUCGGUUUGGGAUGGCAACUUUCCUUGAGCUUCUAGCCUGUUUAUGGAGGUGGCCAUCUGUCCCAUCUGUUGUUGCAUCAUUUGCAUAGUCUUCACUACCUCAUCAAGAGUGUUAUUGAAAUUUGGAGGUGCUGGUUGAGCUUGAUUUCUUUGGUAGUUCUGCUGGUUGUUAGCUC